RNAcentral lists this long non-coding RNA (4058 nucleotides) under Arabidopsis lyrata. RNAcentral's name for it is "long non-coding RNA (ALYR_LNC000805)". The record is from RNAcentral. Lineage: Eukaryota; Viridiplantae; Streptophyta; Magnoliopsida; Brassicales; Brassicaceae.
CUGGGGGCCCUGUGGGUUCUCCAUGUCGUCUUCGAAAUCGAACUCAUCGCCACGACCUUGCCUUGUUUGCUUCUGCAUCCAUCUCUGGCAAGCUCUUAGGUGCUGUGAUUGCUGGAACUCCUUCUGGCAUCUCUGUCUUGGGCCCAUGGGGUUGGUGGCGUCAUCUUCCUCGAACUCGACGACUGUGCGGUAGAUGGAAGCGUUGGUGAGGAGGAAGCAGAGGGCGAGAGUUGCGCAGACGAGGAAGAGCUUGUUUGCCAUUUUUUGCUAUUUGUGUAUGUUUUCUUGUUUUGGUUUGAGUGAAGAGUGUAGUGAAGGGUUGGUUUUUAUUUAUAGGUGACAAAGGAGAUUUGCAUGGCAAUCACGUGUAAGAAUGCAUGAGUGUGUGUGGAGUCAUGGAGAGAGAGAUUCUCUUACGUUGUUGUCGGGAUUAGGUGUUGGAAAAGAGUGACAAGUGACGAACAAUACCACUCCUAGGCUCCUAGCUCCGCUUCUGCAUGCUAUGUGUGAUUUGUAGCUCAUUUUCUGACAUGACAUUAUGAACGAUUAUAUUUUUUAGAAUUAAGAAGGUAAAACUUUUUUAGUAAAACACACUUUUAAUUUGGUUUUGAUCGAAUGAGAUGCGAAUUCAAUCUUUUGGUGGUAGUGCUGUUGGAAAUAUAGUUUUGUGAGCUUAAUCAGAAACUUAGAAUUUUAAAAUAAAUCUAUAUAGUCACGCAGGCCCGGCUCACUCAUCGGUAAGACCCGGUGCCAUACAAAAAAAAAUCUUAUCUUUAAUAAAAAAUUUAUAUAUAUAUAUAUAUAUAUAUAUUUACAAAAAGUUAUAUUUCAUAAAUUAUUUUGUAUUUUAUAGCUAUUUGGACAUGUUAUUUUUGUUUAUUAAUUUUGGGGCUCAAUAUUACCUUUUAAAAUAAAAUUUUGGGACCUUUACAUAUGGAUAUUGUAUAAAAUUUCAGCAUAAUUAAAUAAUUAAAUAAUAAAAAAACUAUGAAUUUGGACCUUAAAUUUGUUGGACCCGGUGCAAAUGCACCACUUGCACAUGCCAAUAACCGGCCCUGUAGUCACGGUUCACGAACCAUGUAAUAAAAUUUUAUAAAAUAUGAGGGAUAUAUAUUAAAAAAAAAUUCAUAAAUAUUUAACCCUCUAAAUGACUCGUACAAAAAAUACAAACAAUAAGUAAUUUAUCUCUUACAUAAAAUCAGUGGUAAUAAAUUAAAGUUAAGAAAUAAAACCGAAAUAUGUGAGACACACACAUAAUUAGAGGUGUCAAAAACUCAAAAUGCGUCAAAAUUAAACUUAUAGAUUUACCAAAACAUUAUAACCCAAACCGUGAACUACAAGUCAAAGAAAGUAUCAGGAACCAUGUUUUGACUGAAAAUUCAAAAGAGAGAGAUGAAGAGAAUGAGAAGAAGAUAUACAAAAUAUUUUACGAAUUCUGAAUCGAGAGUUAGUACAUCGACUAGUUCAAUCUAGCAAUUACUAUGUUUUUCAUUUCAAAGAGUUAGAAUGACUCAAAGAUAUGAAUGAUACAAAAUCCGAUCCAUAAGACCCAUUAUAUUCUCGAACUUUCCAACCACGUUUAGCUUAAACCAAAGUAAACCCUUUCAAAACCAGACUAAUGGCUCUUUCAGAAAUCUGCAUGCAGCUCUUAACCAGAACUAAUUGUGUUCCCAGAACAACAUCAACACGUUUUUACAAGACAUUGUUUUCUCUGUUUGUUUGAUUGGUAACGUUUUACACUCUUGACCACAAUGGCUAGCCCUUUUUUACAACAAUUGUUAGCGACUAUCGGUCAAACCGAUCAUGUAUGUAAAUUAUAUCAUUUUUGAAUUUCGCUUCCACGGGAUCAUAUCUAAUGUACAAUUAAAUGGCAUGUCUCUUCCACUUGAUGGCGUGCAAAUUCUUGAGGCCAAAAUAGAUAUUAAAACGCACGUGGUAGGGCGGUGGUAACUGGGACUAUGGUGUAAAUACAGACCAGCAUGAUGCUUCAUUCUUAUAGAGAACAAAUUUUCUGCGUGUUGGAUCACUUGGAACUGUGCUUUGGUCAAGUGUUUUAUCCAUGGUGUAGUUUGCCGCACACUCUUGCAAACAAAUUAUUCACCCUUGAAAGUAGUCAGCGCAUAGCCCUAAGUUUUAGUAUGUGUGCAGUGCCGGUCCGGUGAAAUCCGGGGCCAAAUACGAAAAGAAAAAUUGGGGUUUUUUUUAAAAGUAGAAACUGCUAAAAAAUUUUUUUUUGCUAAUUAUGGAGCAUUUAUAAUUUUUAUUUAACAAUUUUUCUUAAAUUUUAAAGAUUUUUUGCUAAUUAUGAGGCCUUUUUGCUAAUUGUGAAGUCUUUUUUUGUUAAUUUUUGAGGCCUCUUUUACUAUUUUGAAGCUUUUUUUUGUUAAUUUUUGAGGCCUCUUUUACUAAUUUUGAAGUCUAUUUCAUAAUUUUAGGGCCUCAAAAAAAAAAAAAAAAAAUUCUUCACAAAAUGAGCCUCGAAAAUUUGAGACCCAAUACAAAUGAUUCACCAAAAUGGGUGAAGGGCCGGGCCUGUAUGUGUACGCGCGAGUCGGUGACUGAACACCAAGUGCUAUACCAAGAAAGAAAUAGCUAGCAUGCAAAAAUGUUCUUUGCAUAUAUCAUAUCAUGCCUGGGCAUUCGGAUUUCAGAUCGGAUUCGGUUCGGAUUUAUUCGGAUUCAGAUAAUUCGGGUAGGAGAUUUUAUUAUCCGUUCGGAUUUUAUGACUAUUCGGAUCGGAUUCGGUUCGGAUAGUAUCGGAUUCGGAUCGGUUUCAGAUCGGUUUUGGAUUGUUUUUCGAGUAAAAAAAACUAAAAAAUGUUCAAUUCAAAUAAAAAAAUAGUUUAAUCUUACUAAAAUUUGGCUAAGUUUUCCAAAAAUAUGUAUAAUUUUAACAAAUAUAACUAAAAACUUUCUGAUAUCUAGGUUAUUUAGGAUAUUUUUGUUAUUUGUUAUAAAAUUAUAGCUAAAUAUAACUAAUAUUUUUGGAUAUAUAAUUUUAUUUUCGGUUUUCGGAUAUCCUUUCGGUUUUCGGUUCAGAUGUGGUUCGAUUCGGAUAAUUCGGAUAGGAGAAUUCAUUAUCUGUUCGGGUUUUGUGACUAUUUGGUUCGGAUUCGGAGCCAGAUUUUUUGGAUCGGUUUCGGAUUGGUUUUCGGAUUUUAUGCCCAGGCCUAAUCAUAUGGAUAAAUGUUUAAUACUUAAGAGUUGAUAAGAUGAUCUAGAAUUAGUUGCAAAUUAUCUUCACCAUAUCUUCAGUUGUGAGAAACAUAUAAUUGAUUGUUAGAGCCUAGAGGGGCACAGUCAUAGAGCAGUUUUUAAUUGGUAUUUUGCUUAACCUGUAAAUUUGAUUGAAAAAUAUUUCGGACCACCUAGAGAGAGCGUAUGCAAGUGAAAAUUAAACAUAAACAAAACUCUUAUUUAUUAAGGACUUGUGCUAAUUACAUUAAUCUCAAACAUCCAAAACUUACAUUUUCAUAAAACACACGAUGAGGUGUGGUGUUAACAUGUAUCAACAACCACACGCUCAUACGCUCGAUGGUUUUGUUUGGAAUCUAGUAGUAAGGAGGGAAGAAGGGGAUGGUGGUCUGGAAGGGGCAUUCACCAACUUGCUGGAUCCUGCAAACCUUAGGCAAGUACUUAGCUGUCUGGUAAAUUUUCCUGGAUUGGAAUGGUCCGUGCUGUCCCUGGAGUCUAACGGCUCUAGCCGCCUGUUUCAAGGUGGGGCAAACGCAAACUGGCUCUUCCUGGCGAAGCUCGUUGCAGCACUGCUGGAGUAGCUGGUGUCCCUGCUGGGGGCCCUGUGGGUUCUCCAUAUCGUCUUCGAAAUCGAACUCAUCUUCACCACCACGACCUUGCCUUGUUUGCUUCUGCAUGAAUCUCUGGCAAGCUCUUAGGUGCUGUGAUUGCUGGAACUCCUUCUGGCAUCUCUGUCUUGGGCCCAUGGGGUUGGUGGCGUCAUCUUCGUUGAACUCGACGACGGUGCGGUAGAUGGAAGCGUUGGUGAGGAGGAAGCAGAGGGCGAGAGUUGCGCAGACGAGGAAAAGCUUGUUCGCCAUUUG